AUCCAAAGUUGCUCCGACUAUGUCCCUGAAGCCUGCUACUCCACAGUGGCAGCGAGUAUGAAGGACAUGUCGGUGACUCACUGAUCACGCAAAGACCACUGACUUAGGGCUUUGAGCCAAGGGUCAGAGACCCUGGCAGUCCUGGCUUCACAACCUCUCAGGGCAACCAUACUAAGCGACCUUUGCCUUCAGGACUAUUCUUGGCUGGCUGAAAUUGCGCGGAGGAGUUCAGCCCCUGCAGGACCGAACAGGGUCACCUCCCUGCCUCCUCCUGUAGCAGCCUCUGACGCAGGCCCGAAAUCUGGGGCAGGAUUUCUUCUGUUCUUGGAGAAGGCACAUCUUUCAUAUCCACACUUUCAUCCCUUGACUGCGGCUAGGACUUCCUUCCAACCGCAGACUUUACCUCUGUCAUGGAAUAAGAAGGAUACCGAUUUAAUAAUCCUCAUUAAAUAUAGUGCUACACUGUGGAAAUCUGUUGUAUUUGACAGAAACCCAAACGCUACUGACUUGUCGCUAGAAUAAUUACAGGUAGUGUUUACCAGACUAAACACAUUUGUAGGAAGGGUGAAUGUAAUGUGUUUAAAGGAAAAACUGUCUUAAAUGCUGUCAAGUACUUUAAAAUGUCACAUUGCACCAAAACAAUGGAUUCCGGGUACACCUAAGUCUUCUAUAGUCACAAAAGCAAGUUCUCUAGGAUUUCUUAUUGUUUUUCUUACUUUUUAUUUACUGCAAUAAAACAACAGAAAAGCCUUUAUAGUUCACUCUUGUUUUGCUCACUUACUUUGGUUUUCUCCCCCAGUCCGUCUGAAAACAAAUGUUCUCUUUCAUGACUUUAUCCUUCAGUGAAGUGUAUUCUGGGUGUCACAACUGAAUUCUGCUUUCUAAAUCAUAUACAGAAAAUGUUUCCCCCAAUCUCUCCACACUUCUUAUAGGUGGAGCAUGCGUUGAAGGUGAGGAAAAAUCUGGAGGCUCAGAGGUAGAGAGGCCUGCCUCCCUGGGAGCGUACUUUUCAUUCUUGGAGCUCUGGUUCUUUGGGGCUCACAUCGUGAUCUCUGGGAAAGUGAGCUAAAUGAGAGCUAAAUGUAUUAGCUAAGCAGCAAAAGCCCCACAUCUUAGCAGAUUUACAUACUAAAAGUUUCUAUCUUGAUACAUAACAGCCCAAGGCUGUU
RNAcentral lists this long non-coding RNA (1169 nucleotides) under Mustela putorius furo (domestic ferret). RNAcentral describes it as "lncRNA (ENSMPUG00000025562.1)". The record is from RNAcentral. Lineage: Eukaryota; Metazoa; Chordata; Mammalia; Carnivora; Mustelidae.